RNAcentral lists this long non-coding RNA (227 nucleotides) under Phoenix dactylifera (date palm). RNAcentral's name for it is "long non-coding RNA (PDAC_LNC016982)". The record is from RNAcentral. Lineage: Eukaryota; Viridiplantae; Streptophyta; Magnoliopsida; Arecales; Arecaceae.
UACGUAAAUUUGGCAAAGGACUUUUAGCAUGCUUUUAAUGUCAAAUUGGUUUCAAACUGAUAUCAAUUUAAGCAUAUUUUGGUAUUAGACUUUGUGCUUCAUUGAAUAUCUUUUGAAAGUUGGAUUUUCAUCUGUACUUAAUUGGUAAAUCACUUGUUUUGAAAACUAAGUGAAAAGGAUUCCAUUUGUCUUAGUAUUGGAAAUUUACUUUGGAAUCUACGAAUGAG